RNAcentral lists this long non-coding RNA (856 nucleotides) under Equus caballus (horse). RNAcentral describes it as "lncRNA (ENSECAG00000060198.1)". Lineage: Eukaryota; Metazoa; Chordata; Mammalia; Perissodactyla; Equidae. The record is from RNAcentral.
AUCCAGGGCUCAGCUGAGACUGGGGGCCUCACCACAGCCCCACUCAGAUGCCUGGUGGUUGGAUGGGCUGCCAGCUGAGGCACCUCCGUUCUCCAACUCAUGGCCUUUCCAGCAGGACAGCCUGGACUUCUCCAUAUGAGAAUUGGGUGUCAAGAAGGAAAGACCACAUGAAGAUGCAGCUAGAAGGUACCAGCUGCAACCCCAGGAGGGAGCCUCACCAGAACCUGAUCCUGCUGGCACUCAGCCUCCAAACAGUGAGAAAUAGAUGUGGCAAAGGGAACCUCCAAGGAGGAACCCCUCUGGAGCAGAGUCUCAAAGCAGAGGGAUUGAGGAGAUACCGAGGGGAGCAUGCAACACCUGGUACGCGAGUCAAGAGGAGACAUGUUGAGAUGCAGCUAGGUCUCCUGGCAGAGGAGCGACUUGGUUCUGGUCUGGAUCCUCUGAGGGCAUAAAGCUGUACCUCAGCAAGUCUGCAGAUGAACAGUGAUAAAGACAAAUCAUUAGAAUGCAGAGCGCCUGCCCAGAGUAAAUUAUUGUUGGAUAAAAGCUCAGAAACAACUUGACAAAAUUUGUGACAGUGUGAGUGUUCUUGUUAGUUGAUCAAACUCAGCCAGGUCUUCAAGGAUAUGGUGUACCUGCAAAAUCAUACUGAGAGGCACUCAGAAAGAAGCUAAUCUGCCUAGAAAAGGCUAAGGGAUAGUUUAAGCUUACCUAACCUAAAAGGCUUGGUGAAGUUUAAUUCACACUGGGAAUGUAAGAGAAGUAAGUGUCUUAAGGCGACCAUCCAACAUAGCUGGACCUCCUGAUUCUCUUCAACCCUCUUGCAUGCCUUUCUGCCAAAUAAAACAUUUCAUGG